RNAcentral lists this ribosomal RNA (466 nucleotides) under uncultured bacterium. RNAcentral describes it as "partial 16S ribosomal RNA". It matches the Rfam family "Bacterial small subunit ribosomal RNA", at positions 28 to 507 of the family's 1533-position model. The record is from RNAcentral.
GAUGAACGCUGGCGGCGUGCUUAACACAUGCAAGUCGAACGAUGAAGCCCAGCUUGCUUGGUGUAUUAGUGGCGAACGGGUGAGUAACACGUGAGUAACCUGCCCUUUACUCUGUGAUAAGCCUGGGAAACUGGGUCUAAUACUUGAUAUGACUUCUCAUCUCCUGGUGGGGGGUGGAAAGAUUUAUUGGUCUUGGAUGGACUCGCGGCCUAUCAGCUUGUUGUUGAGGUAGUGGCUCACCAAGGCGACGACGGGUAGCCGUCCUGAGAGGGUGAACGGCCACAAUGGGACUGAGACACGGCCCAGACUGCUACGGGAGGCAGCAGUGGGGAAUAUUGCACAAUGGGAGCAAGCCUGAUGCAGCGACGCCGCGUGAGGGAUGACGGCCUUCGGGUUGUAAACCUCUUUCAGUAGGGAAGAAGCGAGAGUGACGGUACCUGCAGAAGAAGCGCCGGCUAACUACGUG